Molecule: ribosomal RNA, 484 nt
Filed under: uncultured bacterium
Lineage: Bacteria
Description: partial 16S ribosomal RNA
Rfam family: Bacterial small subunit ribosomal RNA
Source: RNAcentral
AUUGAACGCUGGCGGCAGGCCUAACACAUGCAAGUCGAGCGGAUGAAGGGAGCUUGCUCCUGGAUUCAGCGGCGGACGGGUGAGUAAUGCCUAGGAAUCUGCCUGGUAGUGGGGGAUAACGUCCGGAAACGGGCGCUAAUACCGCAUACGUCCUGAGGGAGAAAGUGGGGGAUCUUCGGACCUCACGCUAUCAGAUGAGCCUAGGUCGGAUUAGCUAGUUGGUGGGGUAAAGGCCUACCAAGGCGACGAUCCGUAACUGGUCUGAGAGGAAGAUCAGUCACACUGGAACUGAGACACGGUCCAGACUCCUACGGGAGGCAGCAGUGGGGAAUAUUGGACAAUGGGCGAAAGCCUGAUCCAGCCAUGCCGCGUGUGUGAAGAAGGUCUUCGGAUUGUAAAGCACUUCAAGUUGGGAGGAAGGGCAGUAAGUUAAUACCUUGCUGUUUUGACGUUACCAACAGAAUAAGCACCGGCUAACUUCGUG